GCUCACUGGUCUAGUGGUUCCGCGCCGACAAUGUAGCGGGGCUCAAGCACACCACCGAAGACGCGGCAGUAUUUUGUACUGGGUAGGAGAGCGUCCCAUGAGGGGCGAAGCGGCCGUGUGAACGCGCCGUGGACUUCAUGGGAGUGAGAAUGCAGACAUGAGUAGCGAGAGACGGGUGAAGAUCCCGUCCGCUGGAUGACCAAGGGUUCCAGGGCCACGUUCAUCGUCCCUGGGUGAGUCGGGUCCUAAGGCGAGGCCGACAGGCGUAGUCGAAUGGAUGAACGGGUCGAUAUUCCCGUACCGGCUUUCAGCCGCCAAAACCGAGGCUUGGAGUACUAACCUCCGGGUCCGGGCUUACUGCUCCUUCGGGGGCGGGAUGCCCUGGCCUGUUGGGACCGAUCCUUGUAGUAGGUCAGCGCAGGAGUGACGCAGAAGGGUAGCCGGCCGCGGAGGUGGUCUUCCGUGGUCAAGCACGCAGGGCGUGGGACAGGCAAAUCCGUCCCGCAUGGGUCCGAGGUGCGAUGAUGGGGGCCUUAUGGCCCGAUAUCCGGUGAUCCCGGCUGCCGAGAAAAGCUUCGGCGUCAGGCUCGAAGCCGCCCGUACCCCAAACCGACACUGGUGGUCAGGUAGAGAAUACCAAAGCGAUCGAGCGAAUCCUGGUCAAGGAACUCGGCAAAUCACUCCCGUUCCUUCGGUUUAAGGGAGACCCCCGAUGGUGAACACACUUGCUGUGGGAGCUUUUGGGGGUGGCACAGACCAGGGGGUAGCGACUGUUUACCAAAAACACAGGUGCAUGCGAAGGCGCAAGCCGCUGUAUAUGCACUGACGCCUGCCCGGUGCCGGAAGGUUAAGAGGAUCCGUCAGCCUUCGGGUGAAGCGGUGAAUUCAAGCCCCGGUAAACGGCGGUGGUAACUAUAACCAUCCUAAGGUAGCGAAAUUCCUUGUCGGGUAAGUUCCGACCUGCACGAAUGGCGUAACGACUUCCCCACUGUCUCGACCAGGAGCUCGGCGAAAUUGCAGUACGAGUAAAGAUGCUCGUUAAGCGCAGAAGGACGAAAAGACCCCGGGACCUUUACUAUACCUUGGUAUUGGCAUUCGGUGUGGAUUGUGUAGCAUAGGCGGGAGGCCGAGAGGCGCGGUCGCCAGAUCGCGCGGAGCCGUAAGGUGAAAUACCGCUCUGUUCGCAUUGGAUGUCUAACCUCGAACAGUCAUCCUGUUCAGGGACAGUGCCUGGCGGGUAGUUUAACUGGGGCGGUUGCCUCCCAAAGAGUAACGGAGGCGCCCAAAGGUCCGCUCAGCCCGGUUGGCAAUCGGGUGGCGAGUGCAAGUGCACAAGCGGGCUUGACUGCGAGGACGACGGUCCGAGCAGGGACGAAAGUCGGGACUAGUGAUCCGGUGCCGGUGUACGGACGCGGCAUCGCUCAACGGAUAAAAGGUACCCCGGGGAUAACAGGCUGAUCAUUCCCAAGAGUCCAUAUCGACGGGAUGGUUUGGCACCUCGAUGUCGGCUCGUCGCAUCCUGGGGCUGGAGCAGGUCCCAAGGGUUCGGCUGUUCGCCGAUUAAAGCGGCACGCGAGCUGGGUUCAGAACGUCGUGAGACAGUUUGGUCUCUAUCCUCUGCGCUCGUUGGAAUGCUGAGGAGGCCUGCCCAUAGUACGAGAGGACCUGGGUGGACGAACCUCUGGUAUGCCGGUUGUCACGCCAGUGGCACGGCCGGUUGGCUACGUUCGGAAGGGAUAACCGCUGAAAGCAUCUAAGCGGGAAGCCUGCUCCAAGAUAAGCAUUCCGUGGAACCUUCGAGUUCCUGUAGUCCCCAUGCAGAACACGUGGUCGAUAGGCCGGACGUGGAAGCCCCGCGAGGGGUGGAGCCGACCGGUACUAACGGACGAAAGGCAACACUA
This 1901-nucleotide ribosomal RNA is filed under the name human gut metagenome. RNAcentral's name for it is "bacterial LSU rRNA". It matches the Rfam family "Bacterial large subunit ribosomal RNA", at positions 1140 to 2925 of the family's 2925-position model. The record is from RNAcentral.